Molecule: long non-coding RNA, 205 nt
Organism: Megalops cyprinoides (Indo-Pacific tarpon)
Lineage: Eukaryota; Metazoa; Chordata; Actinopteri; Elopiformes; Megalopidae
Exons: 3
Source: RefSeq, a predicted model, not a curated record
CUGGCUUCAGCUCUGCAAUCAAACCUCUCACACCUGAGAGAGCUGGAUCUGAGCUACAAUCACCCAGGGGACUCAGGAUUGAGAGUGCUCUCAGCACUACAGGAGGACCCCAGCUGUAAACUGCAGACGCUGCUUGUGGACCAUGGAGGAGAGAACAGGAACAAACCAGGACUAAGGAAAUAUGCCUGUCAGCUCACACUGGACC